Molecule: ribosomal RNA, 465 nt
Filed under: uncultured Klebsiella sp.
Lineage: Bacteria; Pseudomonadati; Pseudomonadota; Gammaproteobacteria; Enterobacterales; Enterobacteriaceae
Description: bacterial SSU rRNA
Rfam family: Bacterial small subunit ribosomal RNA
Source: RNAcentral
CCUACGGGUGGCAGCAGUGGGGAAUAUUGCACAAUGGGCGCAAGCCUGAUGCAGCCAUGCCGCGUGUGUGAAGAAGGCCUUCGGGUUGUAAAGCACUUUCAGCGGGGAGGAAGGCGUUAAGGUUAAUAACCUUGGCGAUUGACGUUACCCGCAGAAGAAGCACCGGCUAACUCCGUGCCAGCAGCCGCGGUAAUACGGAGGGUGCAAGCGUUAAUCGGAAUUACUGGGCGUAAAGCGCACGCAGGCGGUCUGUCAAGUCGGAUGUGAAAUCCCCGGGCUCAACCUGGGAACUGCAUUCGAAACUGGCAGGCUAGAGUCUUGUAGAGGGGGGUAGAAUUCCAGGUGUAGCGGUGAAAUGCGUAGAGAUCUGGAGGAAUACCGGUGGCGAAGGCGGCUCCCUGGACAAAGACUGACGCUCAGGUGCGAAAGCGUGGGGAGCAAACAGGAUUAGAUACCCGGGUAGUC